AACGAACGCUGGCGGCAUGCCUAACACAUGCAAGUCGAACGAAGUCUUCGGACUUAGUUGCGCACGGGUGCGUAACGCGUGGGAAUCUGCCCUUGGGUACGGAAUAACUCAGAGAAAUUUGUGCUAAUACCGUAUAAUGUCUUCGGACCAAAGAUUUAUCGCCCAAGGAUGAGCCCGCGUAAGAUUAGCUAGUUGGUGGGGUAAAAGCCUACCAAGGCGACGAUCUUUAGCUGGUCUGAGAGGAUGAUCAGCCACACUGGGACUGAGACACGGCCCAGACUCCUACGGGAGGCAGCAGUGGGGAAUAUUGGACAAUGGGCGAAAGCCUGAUCCAGCAAUGCCGCGUGAGUGAUGAAGGCCCUAGGGUUGUAAAGCUCUUUUACCAGGGAUGAUAAUGACAGUACCUGGAGAAUAAGCUCCGGCUAACUCCGUG
This 433-nucleotide ribosomal RNA is filed under the name uncultured bacterium. RNAcentral's name for it is "partial 16S ribosomal RNA". It matches the Rfam family "Bacterial small subunit ribosomal RNA", at positions 29 to 507 of the family's 1533-position model. The record is from RNAcentral.